Molecule: ribosomal RNA, 484 nt
Filed under: uncultured bacterium
Lineage: Bacteria
Description: partial 16S ribosomal RNA
Rfam family: Bacterial small subunit ribosomal RNA
Source: RNAcentral
AUUGAACGCUGGCGGCAGGCCUAACACAUGCAAGUCGAGCGGAUGAAGGGAGCUUGCUUCUGGAUUCAGCGGCGGACGGGUGAGUACUGCCUAGGAAUCUGCCUGGAAGUGGGGGAUAACGUCCGGAAACGGGCGCUAAUACCGCAUACGACCUGCGGGAGAAAGUGGGGGAUCUUCGGACCUCUCGCUAUCAGAUGAGCCUAGGUCGGAUUAGCUAGUUGGUGGGGUAAAGGCCUACCAAGGCGACGAUCCGUAACUGGUCUGAGAGGAUGAUCCGUCACACUGGGACAGAGGCACGGGCCAGACUCCGACGGGGGGCAGCAGUGGGGAAUAUUGGACGAUGGGCGAGAGCCUGAUCCAGCAAUGCCGCGUGUGUGAAGAAGGUCUUCGGAUUGUAAAGCACUUUAAGUUGGGAGGAAGGGCAGUAAGUUAAUACCUUGCUGUUUUGACGGUACCAACAGAAUAAGCACCGGCUAACUUCGUG